Molecule: non-coding RNA, 541 nt
Organism: Parasteatoda tepidariorum (common house spider)
Lineage: Eukaryota; Metazoa; Arthropoda; Arachnida; Araneae; Theridiidae
Source: RefSeq, a predicted model, not a curated record
CCAAAUGGCUUUAAAAUACAAUGGAAACAGUAACCCGGAAAUUUAGGUGGUACCGAGCUUGCAGCGUUUCCUAGUGUAGAAAACACCAUCCAUACACACCAAAAACAGUAUCCCGGAAGUAAAAGCAGUCAAGAGCUAGCAGCGCAUCCUAGUGUAGUGUAAAAAUAGUUUUAACUGUAUUUGUCAUUCAUUAAUUAUUCCCGCCUUUCUUAUGACUCAAGAAAAUUUAGUUUUUUUCAUCAAUAAGUAAAUUAUCUUAAUAAUUUUUAUGUAUCUUACUUCAAUUUGCAUUAAAAAGAUAAGCAAUCUAGUAUCAUUCAUAUUUAGUUUGCACACUAUUAAUCUAACUGCUCUGAAGAUUAUUUUUUUUUUGUACUAUAUAAAAUAGGAGAGAACAUUUUCUUAACACUUAUUCAUAAUUGCCAAAUACACGGGUGCCAAAUUAUUUUUUUGGCUAAUUAACACAGUCUAGUGUUUACCAGAAUUUUCAGAAAUUUAUAGCUAUCUGACGCCAAAAUGCUGCUUUCUAUGAUAAUGGUCA